This is an RNA transcript of Peromyscus californicus insignis, 4814 nucleotides long. RefSeq lists it as uncharacterized. The transcript has 6 exons. The record is from RefSeq and is a predicted model, not a curated record. NCBI's taxonomy places the organism in Eukaryota, Metazoa, Chordata, Mammalia, Rodentia, Cricetidae.
GGCCGACUGCUCGCCCUCCGCACCCCGCACUGCGCCAGCCUGGCCUCUCUAGCCUCAGCUCCGCAGCUCUGCACGUCCCAGCUCCUGCAGCUGCUUCAGCGCCAGACAGAGUUCUGUGAAGCCCAGCUGACCGUCAUUUGUGUUACGUUCUGUAAAAACAAUGGUGUGGACCGCUGGGAGUUUGACCGUGCUCCAGCAGCAGAGACCCUGGACUUCCUGGACUUCCAUGUUCUUCCUGGGACUUGGGAAGUAUACCAUGCACUACCACCACUACCGUUCCUGACUGUGCACACACACACCGCCAGACAGUCCUUUCUUCAGGCAUGCAUUCUAGCCAGCCACCGUACCCUGUAGUCUGCCUCUCAGGGUCUCUUAAACCUCUCCACUUUCAUUCAAUCCAUGGACUUUGGGCUGCCUGGGCAUCCACUCACUCAUCUGACUCACCUGUCCCUGGUCUCCUUCCAAUCGGCUCCAAUCACCGGCCAGUCUGAGCAAAACAAGAUGUUUUAUUCCUCUCUACUCAUGAGUGGUCUUUGCUUGGAUUAGAGUUGGAGUCCUGGUGUCACCCAGCACAGGAUGGCACUGUACUAGAUGCUGCUGCCUGAGGACACACUGGACCUAACAGGGAUUUUCAGACCUAUUUUUUACCCUCACCUUUCAAACCAGUUAACUAGGUCCCGAGCCUUGCCAAGGUAAAUCAAGAGGAAUCUGGAAUGCUGUUGCCUUUUUAAGCUCUGGUUUCCACGAAGUAAAAGGAGCCACAGUGUCUGGGAGGCUCUGCCCUGUUAGGUGGAUCCCACCAGACUUCUGGAAAAAGAUGCUUGCUGUUCACAAGCCCAGUAUGCGCCCAAGUGCGGAGCAGUGUGUUCAGAGCCCGGCCUCUAGUUCUCCAUUUGUGGAGAGCGUCCAGCUGUUUGUGGUAGCAUGGGACUUGUUCAGGAGACUCCAGGCAUGCUCAUGUCCUGCUUGUGCAAAGAUGGAGGAAAUUGCAGGAAGUCUCAAACUAAACAGCAGAACAAAACAACAGCCGACCGAUCAGCAACCCCUGGAAGAUGGUCAGGAGAAAGGCCGGGCGCAGUGCGAAGAUGCCGCUGAAACCCAGACAGCGAAACUGCACAGGGUGGAAACAGGACAAAGGCGGCGGUAUUGCCAAGUGGAAGGAGGAAUUUGUGUGCUCCUGAUGUCCCCAGCUCCAGCCAUUGGUCAGAUAACUGCAGAUACGGCCACGGCUCCUGGCUUGGACAGAAUGCCAGGCUUUCCUCUUCAGAUCUUACCUACCGGAAGAGAGACCAACGGGCUGUUCGGAGACGCACUCCUCUGCUGCAGUUGCUGAGAUGGGGGUGCAGGCUCGGCCCUCCCCAUCUCCACUCUGUCUUCGUGUCUCACAGCCUUGCUCAGAGCCUCUCAACACACAGGAUCACAGAACCCUGACUACCUGAAAAAAAAAUCCAGAAAAAUGAACAAUAGUCUUCAGAAUCCUGCCCUCCUUAUAUAUAGUAACAUGCCUUCCUUAUUUCAUCAUCAUCAUCACCAUCGUUAUUAUUUUCUGGUUUGCUUUUUGACUGGUCUCAACAUUGCUAUGUAGCCAGCGAGGACCUGAACUGAUCCUUCCGCCUUCCCCUCCCAAACACUGGCAUUGCAGGUGUUAGCCACUAUGUCUGGUUCAACUCGUAUUUAUUUGUUAAAUUGGAUUUUAAGAACCAGAGAGCAUCUCAACAAAGAGUGCAGCACUUCUUGUGAGCACACUGUGGUUUUACAGCUCUUAAUCAAAAUUCAGUAUUUUCUAUUUUUCCCUUUGGGAGAAAGUCCUCUGUGCUCAAGUGUAGACCACCCAGGGUGUGUCUUGGCUCUUUGAAGCCUUUGAGGUGUAUUACAAGAGCCUAGCCAUCAAUCCUGGCUUAGACCGAAAUGUCUAUCCUGGUACAUUUUGGCUGCCCCGUCAGUGGUAGAAUAUAUUAUAAUAUGGAUCACCUCCAUUUCAACCACAAUCUUCCCCUGCCCCCCAGCCCCACCCCCGCUGGACUGUGUGAUGAGAAAUCAAUAGCAUUGUGUUAAACUAUUAGAAACCUACAAAUUUGCUUUGUACUUUUUAUAAUUUUCCAUAUUAGCAACUUGAGCUUCUACUAGAGUGUUGAGUAAAUUUAGUCUUAGUAGGUGUGAUAGUUACAACUGAUUCUCAGUUUGACAGGAUCUAAAUCACCUUGGAGACAAGCUUCUGGACAAGCCUGUGAGGGAUCAUCUAGAUGAGCUUUGCCUCUGGGCAUGCCUGAGAUGGGCUACCUUGAUUGGGUUGGUUCAGGUGGGAAGACUCACCUGUACUGGUGGCCCCAUUCCCUAGGCUGCAGUGACUGCACAAAGAGAAAGUCAGCUGAGCAGCCGCAUUCAUCACCCUCUGCUUCCUGCCUGCAAAGGAAAUGUUCCUAGCUGCCUCGAGCUCCUGCCUCCAUAAUGUAGCUGGCUGGACCUCCUACCUCCGUGACAUCCCACCACAAUGGAUUUCACUCUUGAAUUAGGAGGCAAAAACAGCCCCUUUCUCUCUUAUGUUACUUAUGUUGGGCAUUUUAUCAUAGCACUAGGAAAAGUAACUAAUACAGCAGGAUAUUGAAGAGGGUCCUGCACAGACUGGGGUCAACUCAUUUCUGCACAGUCAACCUUUUCUUGAAUGACAGUGAAGAUGGUUCUGGAGUUUGGAUCUUUACCUUUAAUGGGCAGGGCAUGUGCAGAGCAGGCAUGUGCAGAGGGCACUGGAAAUCUGAACAGGUCUGAAGUUUUGGGGACCCAUCUGUGGCUAGUUCUCUGUUGCUGUAAUAAAAUAACUGAGUACAUCAAAUCAAAUGAGGAGUGCUUAUUUUGGUUCAUGGUGUUGGCCAGUGAGUGAGGGAGUAAUUGACAGAUGAGCGUUAAUCCCAUUCCUCAUUUACCAUUCACCUCAUGGUGGCUAGGAAGCCAAAGACAGAAAGGAAGGGGCCAGAGUCUCAGUAGCUCCUACAAAUGCAUACUCCUACCCAUGGUGAUCUCUCUUUUCCUGGACCUCACCUCCUAAAGAUUCUAACACUUCCCAGUUGAGCCACAGGCUGGUGAGCACACCUUGGCCACAGGGCAUUUGGGGGCCAUUUAAGACCCAAAGUGUCACACUGGCCCAGAACACAGAGACACUUGCUUCAUACUGUGCUAUCUAAUACCAGAAACAGAGAUGAGGGCACAUUGGUGUUGAUGGGUAGGGAAGGUGAACUGUAGUGAAGACAUUAUUAGUCUCUGUGGCUUUCUGUCACAGGGCCAGAGUCCCAAUGGCAGGCAGGUACCUAGGUCAAGUAGAGUCACUGUCCUGAUCUCUAUGCCCUGCUCCUUCUCAUGAGCAUGGAGUGGGUCAAGAAUGUAGUACAUUCCAUUCCCAAGCCCAAGGUUGCAUGAACAUUUGCUCCCUUAGGGACGGCUAAGUGAUCCAUGGCUGCCUAGAUGACUUGGCUGGAGCUCUAGCUGGACUCCAUCUGUGGGCAUGGAGGCAUGGUCUUUCCUGGGUGGUAAUGUCAAGUGAUAGUCAAGAGAGAACGUUGUGGUAAUAGGACCAGUUUACAAGCAAAGGUGUAAAGAUCUGUAAUGAAUACCUUUGUUGGGAUUGCUAGUAUUAAUCCUGUAAUUACAGCACUUGUGAGGGGCAAGUAAACAGACUGGGAGUUCAAAGCCACCCUCAGCUACACAUGAGAGGCCUUGUUUCAAUGCUCCCCUCCAAACAAACAAAACUUAAAAAAUACUAAAAUUAGUAAUUGGAAAACUGACUGGAAAUUAUGUGGGAUCAGCAGUGUUGACAACAUUGUCUAAAGGUGAGGAUUCCAAAACAAAGAGAAAAGGACAGCGGAGGAAGAACCGCUCUUGUCUCACAUCCCCCUGAAAUCACAGGACAUUUACUGUUUAGCUUCUGUCUUCCGGCGCACACUGUUUCCCUAUUGUUGAGAGGGUACAUGCCUCAUAUGCAUUCAAGUAAAUUCAAGUAUAAGUGAUUGACAGAUGAGCAUUAAUGCCAUGCUUCAUUGGUUGUCCUCCGCAUGGAGCGUAGGCCUCAAAAUGCACAGGAAGCUUUCCGAACACUUACUUUUAAAGAAUGCUAGUCACAUUUUUAUUUGUUUACCAUAUGUAUGCAUGCACAAACAUACACACACACACUGUGUGGAAGUCAGAAGACAGUUGGCAAGAGUCACUUCUCUACUUCCACUGUGCGGUCUGGGGAUUGAACUCAGGUCAUCAGGUCUUUAGGUUUGGAGGCAAGCAUCUUUACUCACUAAGCCAUUUUGUCAGCCCCCAAACACUUGCCCAUCUGCUUAGAGAAUGAACCAACCUCUACCCACAACUCUUUCUUUCUCCACGUUGCCCUCACCUUCCUUCUGUGACCGCCCCAUCUUGGGUCCUGGAUCACUCGGUGGAAGAGGGAAGAGAACGAUGCCGGAAGAGGUCCUUUUCAGGAUGCAAGCAAGGGUCCCGAGGCUCAGCAGUCACUCCUCCACUCGGAGUGACAGGUUGUUUGUGAGAGCUCCUGGGCUCAGUUUACCCACGUGUGUACUGAGUUAAUAGCACCCGCCUCUCCCUCCCACAGGAACAACAUAGGGUGAUGCUGGAACACGCACCUUGGUCUUCAGAUGAAAGCCACAUAUAAACCCCAGCUGUUAUUAUAGGCUGUGGCCUGUGGGAGGGGCCAUGGAAGCUACUGUGUUGGAAAGUGCAAUGCUGGACCCAGGGACUUCUUGGCACCAGGACCUGGGAGCAAUCUGUGGGAAUUGAGAUCUGUACAUUAAUCAAAGGACUUAAAAAGAAAAUCGGCA